This 253-nucleotide ribosomal RNA is filed under the name uncultured bacterium. RNAcentral describes it as "partial 16S ribosomal RNA". It matches the Rfam family "Bacterial small subunit ribosomal RNA", at positions 524 to 776 of the family's 1533-position model. The record is from RNAcentral.
UACGUAGGCAGCAAGCGUUGUUCGAAAUUACUGGGCGUAAAGAGUGUGUAGGCGGUGCUCUAAGUCUGUUGUGAAAUCUCCCGGCUUAACCGGGAGGGUGCGGCGGAAACUGGAGUGCUUGAGGGUGGGAGAGGUAAGCGGAAUUCCUGGUGUAGCGGUGAAAUGCGUAGAUAUCAGGAGGAACACCUGUGGUGUAGACAGCUUACUGGACCACUUCUGACGCUGAGACACGAAAGCGUGGGUAGCAAACAGG